Molecule: long non-coding RNA, 2395 nt
Organism: Bubalus bubalis (water buffalo)
Lineage: Eukaryota; Metazoa; Chordata; Mammalia; Artiodactyla; Bovidae
Exons: 5
Source: RefSeq, a predicted model, not a curated record
GGGGAAGGGAGUUUCUGGUUUUGCAUGGAGAAGCAGAACAUGAUGAAGCAUUUUUCCCCUGUUUAAAGAUCCAGCCAUGCUCCACUUUGCAGGGGGCAGAAGGGCAGGUGUGCAGUUGGUGCUGGGAGGAUGGAGAAUGUAAGCUUCAUAAAAUCAAGGACUUUUGCCUGUCUUAUUCAGUGGUGCUUUCCUCAGCCCUUGGAACAGUGGUUGGCAUACAGCAGAGCUUAACAAAUAGUCGAAUGGCUGAGCAAGUCCUCUUUGAGAAGCUGACCUGUUCCCGGCUGGGGUCUACACCGGGGAUACACACAGCCACGAAGAAGACAGGGAUCCCAGCUCCCCUGGUCACCAACAAGUAAGGAGCCCAUUUCAUGAAGGUGGAUAGAGGGGUAAAUUGAGGAGCCAUGGGAGCCACAAACUGGGGCUUCUGACCCAGCGCAUCAGGUUGGGGAGCCUGGGAAUCAGCAGUAGGGGAAGAAAAGAGGAUUUGAAUUACCAUAUCAGUCUGGAAAAUACAGCCCAGUUUGGAGGUUCCAUAGGACCAAUUUGAAAAGUUAAUCAGGACAUGGGAUGGAGAACGCGAGGCCCGAGGGGGCCUGAUGAGGUGAGUGGGGAGCCCAGCCACCGCCCCCCUCCCCUGCCCUGGGGAUGCCUGGAAGGAUGCAGGCAAGAGAGCCGCAGUCGCCUGGCUCUGGGCAUCAUGCCCGGGCCCUGCAGAGCGGGGAGGAGUGGGGCGAGGAGUCAGUCCUGCCCCAGUGCCAGGCGGGAGGCGCCUCUGCAGUCCCUGCAGGGAGAAGAUUUACAGCCUCCAGGAGCUGGGAGGUUACAGAGAAAAAGUGGUGCCGCACUUCCAAAGGAUACUGCCUGCAGCACCCGAGGUGGGCUGGCUUCUGGGUGGGCCCGGCUCCUCCAGGCUAAAAAAAGCCCUCCAAGGGGCAGCUGUGGGGGCGGGUGAGGGGCAGGGGUCAGAGGGAGCUGUUGAGAUCAGAAACACCCCCUCUUCUCCCAACACAGGCACAGAGCCGGUUCUGGGACCCAGGCCCUGGGGAGGGCUUGUUACUGCACUGUGUUAUCCAUGAGCUUGGGCUGCUCAGGGCUUGCCUAGCAGCCCCCCCGGGGGGUCUGAUGUCACCAGUAAAGAUGGCCAUGAUCCACUGAGCAUGUCUCCUUUGCAGGCCCGUGUACUGCAGCCUUCAGCACCCCCAGUGACCCCCUCCCAGGGCAGAGUCCUGUUAUUCCCCCUUACUUCACAGUAGCUCAGGGAGGCCAUGGGGUCAGUGGUGGCAGAUUUGAGCCUUAUAUGCCUAAAUGAGUGCCCGAGUCCCUGCCUUCCACCAGAGCCACUUUCUCCCUGUGCGACUUGGGUUGGUUACUCAGCCUCUCUGAGCUACCAUUUCUCGGCCAUCAGCAUUGUCUGGGGCCACUUGCCUUGUUUCAACUCCUUCCCUUGCUGUGUUUCAAUCUUAGCCUCCCCACUGGAUGUCAGCACCACCGCUAUGAUGAGCACAGCACCGGGGCCCAGCCCCAGGCCUGUGAUGAGCACAGCACCAGGGCCCGCCCCAGGCCUGUGGGGGCCUGUAGGCCACCCCUACCGCCCAUGUGUCUGCUGGGCCCAGGUUGGACCCAGACUGCCCUGGCCUCUGGUUCCCACCCUCACCCUACCAAGAUCAGCAGCAGCAAGAGGUUUGCUAGGCAGACCCCCAAGGAGUGUUUCCAGGGAGGCCUCCUCACGUUCUCUCACUCAGUAGGCAAGCCUGGGUUCUCUAGAAGGAUCUGCAAGGUGCCAGGGGGACUGGAGAACCAAAUGGACAUGGCGCUUGUACCCAGACGAGUGCCCGUCCCGAGGGUAAGAUGGACGUCCACACACAGGGAGCAAUGCUGAGAACGAGGUCCCCUAAGCGUGUCCAACAACGGAGCCCUGCUCAGACUCGAGGCUCAGAGUGGAGGCCCUGGGGACCCCCGGAGGACAGGCCUGGAGCACAGGAACACGCUCGAGCCAACCCAUCACCCGGGGCCUCUUGUCACCCUGUGAGCAGGUCCCUCCUCUUUACUGCUGUGUGACCCUGUUAGUCCCCUGCCCUCUCUGAGCCUCAGUUUCCCCUCUCUAAAAUGGGGGAAAAUCAUGGCACCCACUCUGUAGGGUUGUUGAGGGCAUCAGAAGAGGCAAUGUUUGCAAAGAGCUGAGCUUGGUGCCGGGCACACGUGGAGCCUCAGUGGCUGGUAGACAUUAAAGGCGCAGAGCGGCAGGGGAGCCCAGUGGAGCAGCGGGGGAGCAACGUUCCUGGAAGAGACACAAAUGAGCUGAGUAUAGGGACUUAGGAGGUGUUAUCAAGGAGCAGGACGGGCCGAGGACCGAGGGACCAGCUCAGGUGGAAGGGCACGAGGGGUUCCACAG